RNAcentral lists this unclassified non-coding RNA (382 nucleotides) under uncultured Rhodospirillales bacterium. RNAcentral's name for it is "contains 16S-23S intergenic spacer region". The record is from RNAcentral. Lineage: Bacteria; Pseudomonadati; Pseudomonadota; Alphaproteobacteria; Rhodospirillales.
UCCGGCUUGUCACCGGCGGUUUCUUCAGAGUGCCCGGCCUGACCCGGGGGCAACUGAAGAUGAGGGUUGCGCUCGUUGCGGGACUUAACCCAACAUCUCACGACACGAGCUGACGACAGCCAUGCAGCACCUGUGUGGAAGCCAGCCGAACUGAAGGGUAUAGUCUCCUACACCCAUACUUCCCAUGUCAAAGGUUGGUAAGGUUCUUCGCGUUGCGUCGAAUUAAACCACAUACUCCACCGCUUGUGCGGGCCCCCGUCAAUUCAUUUGAGUUUCAACCUUGCGGCCGUACUCCCCAGGCGGCAUGCUUAAUGCGUUAGCUGCGACACAAGAGAGCUAAGCCCUCCAACGUCUAGCAUGCAUAGUUUACGGCGUGGACUAC